This 439-nucleotide ribosomal RNA is filed under the name uncultured bacterium. RNAcentral describes it as "partial 16S ribosomal RNA". It matches the Rfam family "Bacterial small subunit ribosomal RNA", at positions 339 to 795 of the family's 1533-position model. The record is from RNAcentral.
CUACGGGGUGCACCAGUGAGGAAUAUUGCACAAUGGGGGGAACCCUGAUGCGGCAACGCCGCGUGGAGGAUGACGCAUUUCGGUGUGUAAACUCCUUUUAUAUGUCAAGAAAAUGACGGUAGCAUAUGAAUAAGCACCGGCUAACUCCGUGCCAGCAGCCGCGGUAAUACGGAGGGUGCGAGCGUUACUCGGAAUCACUGGGCGUAAAGGACGCGUAGGCGGGUUGGAAAGUCAGGUGUGAAAUCCUACAGCUUAACUGUAGAACUGCACUUGAAACUUCUAAUCUAGAGUAUGGGAGGGGGAGAUGGAAUUAGUGGUGUAGGGGUAAUAUCCGUAGAUAUCACUAGGAAUACCUAAAGCGAAGGCGAUCUCCUGGAACAUUACUGACGCUAAGGCGUGAAAGCGUGGGGAGCAAACAGGAUUAGAUACCCUUGUAGUC